UCUUUAUUUUUAUACUUAAGUUUACACUACAAAAAGGAUGAAAAUGAGACAAUAAUUACAUUUGAGCAUAAUAAUGGUCAUAAUUAUCCCCCAUAGCCAUGUGAGAAAUCAUAGCUACCUCCUUCAUACCUUCCAUGACAAUUAUAGUCACCUGCUUAACCAGGAAAUAAAAGUAAAUAUGAGAAAUGGCUAAUUAUUUAACUGUAUGCACUCUUACCUACCUGCCUAUAAUCCAUCCAUCACAUAUUAUAUGCAGUAAAUACAUCAUUCUUGGUGUGUAAACUGAUCAAGUAUUUAAUUGGUUGACCUUGUUAAAACACAAUAGGAAUUGUUUCUAUAUAGCAGUGAUCAAACUUAAAUUAAUUACAAACAACAAUAGGGACGGAAGGAGCAGAGGACAUACAGUAUGAUAUGAUAGCGUUUUUGACAUAUUCAAAUUUCAAAGUUAAAAAGACUCUGACAGAAAUUUAAAGUGUAAUUGGAAACAUUUAAACAAUAUUUUGAAAAUUAAAUGUUUUGUUUAUAUUACCUGCUUUUAUUACAGUAUGACCGUGGUUUCUUGUUUCAUAUAUACUGAAAAAUAUUUCAUAUAUACUGAAAAUAUAAAAGUACUAUAAAGUUUGUGCGUGUGCAUUUCGUCGUCGUGCACUAUGAAAAUGACUAAAAUCAAAAGGUCGGGUUGUUUUAAGCUUUUACAACUAAACUUACCUCAAAACAAGACACUUACCAAGUUAUUUUCUUCAAUAUUUUCCCCUCAAUCUUCAGAAAAAAACACAAAGUUUAAACGACAUUUAUUUUGCUGUAAAAGCCCGUUUGAUUUCUUGCCGCUCUCGUGAUAUUCGCCGCAUUCGUCCGUUUUGCAUCCCAGCGCUUUCGCAACAACCAAUAAAAACAAGUUUUCGUGUUGUUCAAAUCAUUAUUUUACCGUCUAUUUUUAACAAUGCUGUUCACGGUUGUUCGAACAACUAAAAACAACUUGUUUUUUCAUCAAUGUUGUUCACGCCUGUUCGAACAAUAUUGUUGACGCCUGAUGAAUGAACAACGCUGAACAACAUUGUUCUGACAACAUUUAUCAAGCAUGUUUCAUCAACCUUGUCGGACGCUUGUUCCAUCAUGUUGCAACAACCAUUGUUCGUCCAUCAAGCGUGAACAAGUUGUUGGAACCUCGGUUGGAACAAUGUUGUUAACGAUUGUUGCUUGAACAAUGUUGUUCAGCCAUGAUAACAACAUUGUUCAGGCAUUGUUCAAUGAACCGAACGCCGAACAAUGGUUGUUGCAUUAUUUGUAUUUUAAUUAACGUAUAUUUUUCGAAAUAUAGCUGCAUAUAUGCUGAGCAUUUGAAACUAAACAUUUCGCAAUGAUUUUUCUUUACUUUUAUACACGUCAAUGAAAUACUUGUAUUUUUCGUAAUUAGGUCGAUAAAAAAGUAAAUUUCAGUUCAGCUUAUUUCCCAAUCAUUAGUAUCGAUAGAGAGGGCUUUUAUUUUUACUUAAUUUUGCUCAAUUAAGGAAGCAGAUGGCAACAGACUGCUCGAUUGCUACAAGUUAGUACUUUUACUUGUAUAUAGGUUUAAACAUACAAAUUAUGCAUAUGAAAUCUUUCACUGUUACUUGCACGGAUCAAUGGAUUGCUUUCUGAGGCUGAGUCAUUAUCAUUGAUUGCAAAUAGAUUUGUAAAUUCCAAAGGUACUCCUGGAGGUAAUAUUCCAUUAGACCUACACAUGGAACAUAUGAAUAUGAUGGUUAAGAGAUCAGCAAAAGCAAUGGGAGCAAAUGUAACAGAGAAGUCAUUACAACGGGCUGCAAGUCAAUUCUGGCACUGAAUAAGGUUAGAGAAUGCAUAGCUGAUGAUUGUUUUAAGAAGACACGAAGCUAGUGGUUUGCACAGCCAGAAAAUCCAGAGGAAGCUGUCAAAGUCAUUGCUCAUGACCUGCUGAUGGGAGAAGUAUUUCAGAAGAAAGAGAAAAGACAAGGUUACCACUCAUUUUCCAAAUUCAAAUCCAACUUACUUGAUGUGGACUAUAGAGACUACUUUAAAUGGAUCAGAGAGAAACUUAUACAUUGGAACCAAGUAUAUGACUCUAGAAGACUCCACAAUAAAUUAAACUAAUGUUGAGAGAAUGUACACUUAAAAGCGUAGCAUAGUGACAGAAUUUAUAAUUGCAUGUAUGUAAAUAAAAUCCUUAAUAUAUGUCAAGUUUUCACAAUAUAGUAUGGUAUUAUAAACAAGCAUGAUCAUAUUUUGUAUUUACGUAAGUUUAAUACAUAGGCCACAUGAGAUAUUUCGAAAGUGGACAGACACUGACCAAAAGGGGGGCUUUUGUACUAUAUGAUCAGAAUCAAUGCAAACAAUGUUUCUGUCGGCCCAUGAUGAAGAACCAUCACGGUUAGUGCUCGGAGUGAAAAUUUUUGAAACAUGUAGUUAAUAUAUAUAAGUACAACUUCGAAAAUGGCAUUUACAGAUUCUUUACUUCUACACAGGAGCAAUCUGUUUUCUGGCAAAAGAGUGUGUUCAUUGAAAUUUUUUUUGUGUGUUCAUUGAAAUUGAUUUUUUUGACAGUGUAAUUUUUUCACUUUUGCACAAAGGCACGAGAACAAAGGCCCUAUUUGCACCCCUCUCUGUGCUUCUGCAUCCUUUGCUUUAACGUCAAUUAUACUAUAAUGUCUCAGAAAACGUUUGUUGACGUUUCUUGUUAACACAUGCAACUAUAAGUAGCAAUCCAAUCUUUUGGGGCCUACUUAAUCCUUUUAAUCUGUCUAAAGCCAGAUGAUUUUACACGUAAAGUUUAGUAGCUGCUACAUUAAUACAUAACACUAUAACAGACAAUACAAGAUGGCCAUUUUUAUGGACAACCAUGACUCUAUGAGUGCUGUUACAUUUUGUAUUAAAGUUACAUAAGGUAUGUUGGAAGUUUAUCAGUUUCAUCACUUUCUGUCUGUUCAAUAACUAUAUUAUCAUCUAAAGGAAUGCAAGUAACCAAAUGCUGUUUUCUUUUCGGUCGCCCAUUGUCGUACGAAGGCUUGCGAUCUCUCCCUGCACGACCUGCCUCUUGAAGGUGGCUGGUAAGAUUUUUAGAAGGACUAAAAUGGACUACAUACCUCACACGGGGGAAAUCCACACCCAUACUUAACGAAGUAGAAGCUAUAACAACUCUAAUGUUGCCUUUAAUACAUUCAAAUGAUGAUGUUGUUUUGUCGUCCUUGGCGUUCUUGGGGGUUUGAGAAUAAUAUACUCCAAGCAGAGAUCUUUCUUGGGGAGGUUUACUGCCAUCAACAUAUAUACUGAUUGUCCAAGUUGGCUGAGAAAGAGGUUAAGAAUCAAUACAAUAUGUCGUUGACUGUCUUACAAAAAAUUAUGGUAUUUGGAGAUUCUUCCUUUUUUUCCCUUGAAUCAUUGAAACAAUCCAUUCAUAGCAAGACAUUUGCGUAUCUGCUUUAAACACGGAGAAUCGAAUGUUAUCCCUAUUUGGAAAAAACCCAGUUUCAUAUUAUUCUGACACUGCAAUCCAGCAAUGAAAAAUUCGUUGGCUCGAGCGUGAUUUGAACUCCCAUCUUCGGGUAUCUAGACCGCCGCUCUACCCAUUCUAUCGAGUCAACGGGGAUUGGUAGCGAGUCUUAUCCAAUUUAAGUGCGCGAAAUAUUUUCGUGAGACUUACGCUUGUCUUAGAGGACGCGCAGAAGGCAAAUGCAUGUGGCGUUCGAGUUCAAAACAAGACAAGGAGUGUGAAUAAAGCAACACAAAAGACUAUAUCAUGUCACGAAGUUUUUAUUGACAUGCAUUUUUUAUAAAAUAUGUCAUAACGGUUAUUGUGAGGGACGAAGUUGUUAAUAAGGCCUGGAUGGACGUUUGAAAUUAAACUCUUAAAAACGUUAAUAGACGAUAGAUGUUAUUUCUGAAUUACAUAUAUAUAAUUCAUUUCUGGUUUCAUUCGCCUUGACUUGAUACAACUACUGAAUCGGUUGGAUGAUUUGAUAUUUUUAUCUCUUGUCAUGUGAUUUCGAUUAUAAUACAAUGCUGCUAGAAACCUUAUGAAACCAUCAAAUGUUCAACGUUUAUCAAAUACUCCUUCGUUUAUCAAAUAUCCUAUAAUAUAUUUAUCAAAUAUCAACGUUUAUCAAAUAUCCUUGCAUUACUGUAGCUGUUGGUAUAUUCCCAAACUUGAUAUAUCUGAAUGUAACAGGGUGAUUUAUCUCGAAAUAUCUCAUUGUUUGGUCACAGGUGCAAGGCCGCCGGAAGUAAAUCAAUAUUGGGGGUUCAAGAAUAAAUCGGAACAAAUCUGAAUUGCUUGCGCACUUUUCUAGUUCUUUUGUGUGUUUUGCUAAUACAAAUGAAAAUUAUUGGGGGGGGGGUGGGGGGCUCUCAAGCCCUCCAGCAUAUGUGCAGUAGGUCCGAAAUAGGCCAGUGAGCAUUAGAAUAGUUAAAUCACUAAGAUAUUAAAAAAAAAAGGAUGACCAUCGUUUUACUACUUGGGAUUCAAAUCUGAAAACAGUGACUAUAAUGUGUCCGUAAUUUGAGAUGAUGAAUAAACAUAAUUUUUAAUGAGGAUACCAACUUCAGAAGUAGUGGUUUACAGAAGGGUCCUCGGAAUGAUAUACAUCUGCUUACUCAAUAUGUGGGUUUGAAGCAUAUCACAACAUUUUAUCAUUAUUCAACGUUUGAAUGAAGACACGUUUUGCAAGAAGUUCAGUAUUUUGUUACUGCAUGUAAAUGCAUUGAAUAGAAUCGCGUGGUAACUUUCAAUCGGCCUUGUGGAGCCAGGUAGUUUGGUCUGUUUAUUUUUUAUUUAAGACAAUUAAGCAGCGAAAUAUUUCUCUUCGCGACGUCGUGCAUGUUACUCACAUAAAAAUAAGUGCCGGAGUCCAUGCCCAACAAUUCGUAUAGCGGAUUUAUUUUUCACUCAAUGCCGGGAUAUAAAUAUGCUCUGUUUAAUUAUAUCAGCUGCAUGCGUAUGCAUAUCUAUUGUAACUGUCGGAAAUAUAAACUGAGAGACGAUGUAAUUAAUUAGCAACUAAAUUUAAAUUAUAUGCACCGGCUUUGUAAUGUUCUGAACAUUGAGACGUUUAGCUAGCUCACAGGCGGGCAGAUGAUAUUGAAAGUCGCACAUGCAUUAAUAAUGUCGCUCUUGCUGUAAAUAUAAGUUAAUUUAAUAAGUUUCACAAAACCAGUAAUUAUAUGUGACAAAAACCUUAGUUAUUUACAACUUUAACAGAUAAAACGACAGUUGGUCUAUAUAUUCACCUUAUCUCAAAUUCUAUUCACUUGUCCGGGAUAUCAGUUUGGAAUGGUAACUGUAGCAACCGGGCGUGUGUGUGUGUGUGUGUGUGUUUGUGUGUGUGUAUGUGUAUGUGUGUGUGUAUGUGUGUGUGUGUGUGUGUGUGUGUGUGUGUGUGUGUGUGUUUGUGGAGGGCGGGGGUAUACGCAGGAAAUAUGAAUAAUACUGGUAUAAUCCGGUUAUAUUUUUAUCUAGUAUUGUAUUUAACAUGUUUAAUUCUGUAAACUAAAAACUUAAUUUAGUGAGGGGCCUGGGGACGACAGUACUUUAACCUUCUAGUGUAUAUUGACUAACCGCAAUAUUAAAAACUCCCUCUUUAAUUUAAACAAAGAUUAAUUGUGUUGGUAUUUUUCCACAAGCGACAACCACACUCAAAUUUUAGUGCUAGUAUUCUGGGUUUUAAGGAUUCCAUGUUUUUAAGGAUUCCACGUUUUUAAGUAUUUACGGAUUUAGAAAUUCUGAUUUUUAGUGUGAUUUUAGUAUUCCGUGUUUUCGAGAUUUUGGCUUUUUGUAAUACAGAUUUUAGAGAUUAUGGCUUUAGUAUUCCGUGUUUUAGAAAUUUCGGGUUCAGUUCCAUUUCCCGUUUCUCGAAUGUUGUCCGUUGUUAACUUGACAAUUCGUUGUUUUGGAAAGAUCGAGUCUGGUUACAUGUAGAUGCGUCCUUAUAGUUGACAAAGACUUGUUGUUGUUAACUUAAGAUGGUUCCUACAAUUUUAGGUCUGUGUCGCGGAAAUUUUUUCCACGCGCGAGAUUAGUAGUGAUCCACGCAAUACGCGUGGUCGACGUUGCACGCGUGGUGGGUUUUUUAAAUUGCGUCGUGAUAUACACGCGCGGGCCUUCGUGGGAUUGUCCGCUGGUCGCGCGAGGAAAUUGAAAUCCUGAUUUUUAUGAUGUCACAUAGAUAAAAAUAAAUGUAUUUUUCUCGUGUUUCCUUCAGUAUUAUUUUUUUAAACUUCUCACACUUUCCUGUAAUGUUGAAGUGCGUAAAAUGUGCAAGUUUUAAGAAAAUCGUACCAAAACCAGGGCUUUUUCACGAUUAAAAAAUUAAUAUACUCGUACGAUUUUUUUUAUAUGCUAUCAUUUGAAGGAAUUAUAGAUAAGAUUACUAUGUGCAGAAAAAGUUUUACCGAAGAAAUUUUCAAAAAAUUAUCAAAGGAUCUGCAAAUUGGCCCUUUUUAAAAUCGCUUUAUUACCAUGGCAAUGGGGAUUUUUAACGACAUUUUUUAUUUUUCGUAAUUCGCGAUAUUGUAGCAGUUAUUUUGCCGAGUUUUGCGAUCAUACUUUGCAAGAUGAUAAAAUAAUGGUUUUUUGAAUACAAUUAUAUAAAUGUAAUGUCAUAUAUACUUCAUGUAAUAUAACCUUUUUAAUUAAGUAAACUUGAAAGUCUGAAUAUCGAUUUAUAAUCAUAGAUAUAUAUAUAUAUAUAUAUAAAUGUUGUAAAUAGACAAUAGAUAUACUCCCUAAUUUUUUGUAAAUUUUAUGAGGGCCACAAGUUCAUUAGUACUUCGUACUAUUAAGUGUCACCCUCUUUAAAUAAAGUCUCUAUCUAUCUAUCUAUUAUGUGCUGUACAAUCAAAACUGUAGGGAGCCACCUUAAGAUCAAUCCAAGAAAUGACGUAGCCUACAUGUAGGUUUCAUUUUACAAACUGUCGUGCAGUCAGUGAGUCAGUCACGCACGAGAUAAAACCUAUAACUUGUCGUGGCGAUAGAAGUGUUUAUUUUGAUACGUUAACUUCAAUAUUGAAGCCGGACAAUAUUCAGGUGAAAUUUGUACAGUUUAUAAGGAAACAAAGCUGUGUGUUCGAAGGAACUAAGGUAAGCGAUAUUGCAUGUCCUUCCUGUUGUUGAGCAUUUCCAUACGAACAUGUUGUAUUCAAUAGAUUAUUGCGUUAAUUUCACAACACUAUAAGCUGAAGUGAACUGCUUAUAUUUAGGAAUUAAAGUUCUAUCCUGUGUUCAUUAAUUGAAUAUGAUUUAAUAUAUUUUUAGCGUUGGUGAUUAAGACAAGUGUUUAAUAAAAAUACCCAUCGUAAAUUAUAUGCGGUCAACAUGCAAUAAGAUACCUUCAAACAUAUUCUCAUUAUUUCUGUAGUCCUUGCUUUAGUUGUACUGAAAGAAUGUAGAUAUUUAUUGAGUUGGCUACGAUUCCUUCAGAAUAAAUGCACAAGAAAUUAGAGAAAUUUUCCUUUAAACGAUCAUCAAAUAUCUCUGAACUUUGAUUUUUGCAUUUCCGUAAUGUGGUGUUUAUAUUGCUUACAUAAUAUUUAAAUUCUCUCUGAGUUGUCCUGUAACGUCGACAAGAAUGAUGGGGAUUUGUUGAUAACGAAUUCGUGCACAAAAUGAAUCAUCAUUGCCAUUGGCGGUAGAGUUAUAUGCUUUUUAGUUGAUGUUUAUACUAUUUGUUUCAUCGGAAUUCCGAACAUGAAUAUGACGGUUUCGACAGUUCGUGGUUUGAUAUUUUAUCUCCCUCUCUUGUAUAAAAUGAAGUGCGGAGUUGAUGUGGUGUUAUGAACAGACAAACUUUUGAAUUUUUGCCAACACAUAGAAACAAUUACGUACGACCAACGUUUUGUGGUGAACUAUUAAAUUACGAUACAUGGCAUGCGCCAACAUGGCUGCCAGCUUAGCUCCAAAGCUCUUCAUUGUUUUAAUAUUUUUAAACUUAUUAAGAGCACAUUUUUUACAAAAUCGCGUAUUUUUUGCGCAAAGCGCUCAAAACUUAGCGACCAGGCCUUCCCUAAAAUCCUGCCCCGCCAUCUUGGUUUUAAAAAUUUCCCAAAAUAUGCGAAGACAAAUAACAGAAUUUUACUGGAUUUUUGGCUGUGUCACGAGGCAAAACAUUGCCAAAUAUAAAGAAAGAUAACAUGGUAAGUGUAAUAUCGUAUUUAGUAGCUGUUAUUUAAAUUAUUAUUAUGUAAAUAUGCACAUGUAUCGGACUCAGGAGUGACCAUUUCAUUCAAAGAGGUCAUCUAUAUUUACUGAUUGAAAGUGUCUGCUUUCGUCUUUUAAAUGAUGGCCGGCCUGUUCACAACUCGUUUACAAUAUAGGUACAUGCAAAAUUUUAAAGGAAAAAUUUGAGUAUUUGUAAAUAAUCCAUUUUAAUACUUCGAAGUUCGAAUCAGUUUUUUGCCUCUGGUACUGUUGCACAUUUCCAUAAUAUUACUGUAAAAACAUUAAUUUUAAACUUCACAAUGUUUCGUACACAUGCAGCUGUUCUGCUGUUGCAGUGCUUCAGGUAUACCAUGCUAUAAAUCACUACACGUUUCCUUUCUGAUAUAAAGAAUCAUGAUGUACAUCUGGUAUAUGAUUGUAUACAGUAUACUAAAGUAUAAAUUGGAAACCAAAAUUUCAUAUGGGAUGUAGGUAACAAUUGCAACUGGAAUUAUUAGUUGAAACAACCUACUUUCCCACAUGCAUGUAACCCGAUGUGGUACGAGGGUUGCUAAACCAGGGCUGGUCAUAAAGCAGGGCCAGGAUGCAUCAUCACUAUGGACCCCAGAUACUGAACCCCCUCCCCCAAUAUCCCCAAGUAAAUCUAUCCCACUACUACACAAAAGAAUACUUCUUUCCCUCUGAGUUAACAAUGAAAGUAUAUUUUUUACAGAUCUCUGCGAUAUUACUUUUACAACCUUGAAGAUAUGAUUACGAUGACAGAUGUCUGUACAUUGUGGAGUAUUUUGUACAUCCUAUGAACUUUUUGUAACAAUAGAUAAAUUUUUAUCAUAAUUUAUCUGUGAUUUAAUAAAUAUUCAUUUCAUCUUGUUUCAUUUCUUGUUUUCUUUAAUAGCCUGCAAGAAAAGAU
Non-coding RNA from Paramuricea clavata, 9074 nucleotides. NCBI's taxonomy places the organism in Eukaryota, Metazoa, Cnidaria, Anthozoa, Malacalcyonacea, Plexauridae. The record is from the annotation of a GenBank genome assembly.